GAUGAACGCUAGCGAUAGGCCUAACACAUGCAAGUCGAGGGGCAGCACGGGAGUAGCAAUACAACUGGUGGCGACCGGCGCACGGGUGAGUAACGCGUAUGUAAUCUACCUACAACAGGGGGAUAACCCGGAGAAAUCCGGACUAAUACCGCAUAAAACAGGGGUCCCGCCUGGAACUAUUUGUUAAAGAUUUAUCGGUUGUAGAUGAGCAUGCGUUCCAUUAGAUAGUUGGUAAGGUAACGGCUUACCAAGUCAGCGAUGGAUAGGGGAACUGAGAGGUUUGUCCCCCACACUGGAACUGAGACACGGACCAGACUCCUACGGGAGGCAGCAGUGAGGAAUAUUGGUCAAUGGGCGAGAGCCUGAACCAGCCAAAUCGCGUGAAGGAAGACUGCCUUAUGGGUUGUAAACUUCUUUUACAGGGGAAUAAAAAGACAUACGAGUAUGUCAUUGCAUGUACCCUGUGAAUAAGCAUCGGCUAACUCCGUGCCAGCAGCCGCCGUAA
This 505-nucleotide ribosomal RNA is filed under the name uncultured bacterium. Its description in RNAcentral is "partial 16S ribosomal RNA". It matches the Rfam family "Bacterial small subunit ribosomal RNA", at positions 28 to 523 of the family's 1533-position model. The record is from RNAcentral.